AUUGAACGCUGGCGGCAUGCCUUACACAUGCAAGUCGAACGGCAGCGGACCUUCGGGUGCCGGCGAGUGGCGAACGGGUGAGUAAUAUAUCGGAACGUACCUUUCAGUGGGGGAUAACGUAGCGAAAGUUACGCUAAUACCGCAUAUUCUGUGAGCAGGAAAGCAGGGGAUCGCAAGACCUUGCGCUGAUUGAGCGGCCGAUAUCAGAUUAGCUAGUUGGUGAGGUAAAGGCUCACCAAGGCGACGAUCUGUAGCGGAGUCUGAGAGGAUGAUCCGCCACACUGGAACUGAGACACGGUCCAGACUCCUACGGGAGGCAGCAGUGGGGAAUUUUGGACAAUGGGCGCAAGCCUGAUCCAGCCAUGCCGCGUGA
Molecule: ribosomal RNA, 373 nt
Filed under: uncultured bacterium
Lineage: Bacteria
Description: bacterial SSU rRNA
Rfam family: Bacterial small subunit ribosomal RNA
Source: RNAcentral